Molecule: ribosomal RNA, 617 nt
Filed under: uncultured bacterium
Lineage: Bacteria
Description: bacterial SSU rRNA
Rfam family: Bacterial small subunit ribosomal RNA
Source: RNAcentral
UUGAUCAUGGCUCAGGAUGAACGCUAGCGGCAGGCUUAAUACAUGCAAGUCGAGGGGCAGCAGCUUUAUAGCAAUAUAGAGGCUGGCGACCGGCAAACGGGUGCGGAACACGUACACAACCUUCCUUUAAGUGGGGGAUAGCCCAUAGAAAUGUGGAUUAAUACCCCGUAAUAUUAUUGAAGUGGCAUCACUUUAUAAUUAUAGUUUCGACGCUUGAAGAUGGGUGUGCGGCUGAUUAGGUAGUUGGCGGGGUAAAGGCCCACCAAGCCUUCGAUCAGUAGCUGAUGUGAGAGCAUGAUCAGCCACACGGGCACUGAGACACGGGCCCGACUCCUACGGGAGGCAGCAGUAAGGAAUAUUGGUCAAUGGACGCAAGUCUGAACCAGCCAUGCCGCGUGAAGGAUGAAGGUCCUCUGGACUGUAAACUUUCUUUUAUAGGGGGCGAAAAAGGGAAUUCUUUCUCACUUGACAGUACCCUAUGAAUAAACACCGGCUAACUCCGUGCCAGCAGCCGCGGUAAUACGGAGGGUGCAAGCGUUAUCCGGAUUCACUGGGUUUAAAGGGUGCGUAGCGGAUAGGUAAGUCAGGGUGAAAUCUGGAGCUUAACUCCAGAACUG